Telopea speciosissima is the source of this 230-nucleotide long non-coding RNA. RefSeq lists it as uncharacterized. The transcript has 3 exons. The record is from RefSeq and is a predicted model, not a curated record. Lineage: Eukaryota; Viridiplantae; Streptophyta; Magnoliopsida; Proteales; Proteaceae.
UGUUUUAGAAACAUGCUGAGGAAGUAUUUGCAAGCACACUUGACAAGCGACAUGUGAUCAAGGUUGGAAGCAUGAUACGCUUCUUAAUCAAGAGCUUUGACGAGGAGAUUCUUCAUAUUUCUGGGUCUUUGAUUCCUGCUAAUACUGGAUGUGCUGGUUGGUUAGAUAAACAUAUGAGAGAAAGUUCAGAAAUGGACAGGAGUAACAAGAAAAAGAGAGAAAGGGAGGCU